Molecule: ribosomal RNA, 497 nt
Filed under: uncultured bacterium
Lineage: Bacteria
Description: partial 16S ribosomal RNA
Rfam family: Bacterial small subunit ribosomal RNA
Source: RNAcentral
GAUGAACGCUGGCGGCGUGCCUAAUACAUGCAAGUCGAGCGAACGGACGAGAAGCUUGCUUCUCUGAUGUUAGCGGCGGACGGGUGAGUAACACGUGGAUAACCUACCUAUAAGACUGGGAUAACUUCGGGAAACCGGAGCUAAUACCGGAUGAUAUUUUGAACCGCAUGGUUCAACAGUGAAAGACGGUCUUGCUGUCACUUAGAGAUGGAUCCGCGCUGCAUUAGCUAGUUGGUAAGGUAACGGCUUACCAAGGCAACGAUGCAUAGCCGACCUGAGAGGGUGAUCAGCCACACUGGAACUGAGACACGGUCCAGACUCCUACGGGAGGCAGCAGUAGGGAAUCUUCCGCAAUGGGCGAAAGCCUGACGGAGCAACGCCGCGUGAGUGAUGAAGGUCUUCGGAUCGUAAAACUCUGUUAGUAGGGAAGAACAUAUGUGUGAGUAACUGUGCACAUCUUGACGGUACCUAAUCAGAAAGCAACGGCUAACUACGUG